RNAcentral lists this ribosomal RNA (203 nucleotides) under uncultured bacterium. RNAcentral's name for it is "partial 16S ribosomal RNA". It matches the Rfam family "Bacterial small subunit ribosomal RNA", at positions 1298 to 1500 of the family's 1533-position model. The record is from RNAcentral.
CUGCAGGCUGNAACCCGCCUGCACGAAGUUGGAAUUGCUAGUAAUCGUGGAUCAGCAUGCCACGGUGAAUACGUUCCCGGGUCUUGUACACACCGCCCGUCACACCAUGGGAGUCGGUAACACCCGAAGUCAGUAGUCUAACCGCAAGGAGGACGCUGCCGAAGGUGGGAUUGACGACUGGGGUGAAGUCGUAACAAGGUAUC